Long non-coding RNA from Carassius carassius (crucian carp), 1192 nucleotides. RefSeq lists it as uncharacterized. The transcript is spliced from 3 exons. The record is from RefSeq and is a predicted model, not a curated record. Lineage: Eukaryota; Metazoa; Chordata; Actinopteri; Cypriniformes; Cyprinidae.
UCGUCCUGAAAACCGAAGCAAGGAAAGAUGGAGAAAUUGUCCCAAAGUUCUGGGAGAUUUUGCUGAGCGCCGAUAAGAAAGAUUAUGAGCGCAUCUGUGCAGAAUAUGGGGUGACUGACUUCCGCUGGAUGCUGAAGAAACUGAAUGAGAUGAAAAGUGAGAGAAAACAAGAGCAAGCAGAGCCGAUAACAAUCUAGAUACUAAGGGCAAAAAGGAACCCCGAAAAACAGCCCAAGCUAGAGGGGCAGGCUUGACCUGGCAAAGAUCGCUGCAGAACAGCAGAGAUGAGAGAAUUGCUGCUGUCAAAACAGCCAUUGCUGAGGAAGAGGCAGCAGGUGCAGUGGACAGCUGUAGUUCUGCAUCUUCUCCUGGAGAUUGUUCUCGAGCAAAAAAAGAGGUCAGGAGAGAUGGCUCUGGAGACAUUGGUCCAGCGAGGAGUGUAACAGACACUUGAGAAAAGACACAGGGGAAGUGUAGGAGAACCGCACAGGUUCAUUAAAUAAGAAAAAUUCUAUCUUCAUCCACAUAAAGACACCACAGUUGCAUCGAUAUUUCUCAUGCAGUGACAUCUAUACAUUUUUAGGCGUGACAUGAGAGUCCAAAGGCAGAAGUAAUAUCAAGGUGAAUGUCUGUAUUCAUGCAUACAAAGGAUCAUUUUUUAAUGACCGACAGGAUUUUCAGGUGAGAAAAUGUCAGAAACUGAAGGUGUGACUACAGGUUCGGAUGAAGCCCUGCUGUCUGGAGACUCAGACUGUUUGAUGGUGUACUUAACAUUACAUGAGAAAUAAUAACUGAUCAAAUACAACAGCCAUUAAUUUCCUCAUUAGUGCAUUGACUCCAAUUAAUAUGAGUUAAGUGUAGCGCUAACAUUUUUUUUCAGUGCCAUAUUUACAUUAACCACAGUGUGGCACUCUAUGAAUGACACUGCCCACGAUCAGCCUGGGGGAACAGUUGACAAGAUGAAUGGUCCUUACUGGCAAAGAUAUGUAAUUUAGGCAGUUUAGGCAAGUGAUUUAUAAGUCAAAUAUAAUUGAGCUAGUCAACUAUCUUAAUAAAUUUCAAUUUGGUAACACUGUGAUUAAGCUUUAAACUUGCAAACUUGCAAAUUUUUCAUUGUUCAUUAUUAAUUUAAUAUUUUAUAUAUAAUUUUAGUAUUCAAAAUGCAUCACAUUCUUAGUCCCUAGUAAUGUAA